RNAcentral lists this ribosomal RNA (382 nucleotides) under Rhithrogena sp. BYU IGCEP021. RNAcentral's name for it is "partial 12S ribosomal RNA". Lineage: Eukaryota; Metazoa; Arthropoda; Insecta; Ephemeroptera; Heptageniidae. The record is from RNAcentral.
UAAACUACGAUUAGAUACCCUAUUAUUCUAAGCGUUAAUUAAAGGCCAGAGUAGUAUGAGUUAGGUUCUUGAAACUCAAAGAAUUUGGCGGUGUUUUAGUCUAAUCAGAGGAACCUGUCCUGUGAUCGAUAUUCCACGUUUACUUGACUUAGUUUUGUGUCCAGCUUGUAUACCGCCGUCGAAAGAGUGAUUCUAGAGAAUAUCCUCUAAUACCCUUAUUAGGGAAUAUGUCAGGUCAAGGUGCAGUUUAUGGCUAAGGAGAGAUGGGUUACAAUAAUAUGAAUUAAAUGGAUGCUGUUUUGUAAUAGAUGGUUGAAGGUGGAUUUGAGGGUAAUUAAGUUUAGGUAAAUUUGAUGAUAAAAGCUCUAAAACAAGCACACAU